GCCCCUUUCUAAGUCCGCAAUGCUGUUCGGCCCCGCCCCCUCCUCAACUAGCCUUCCUUCCAAAUUGUCGCAGUGUCUGGUGGUCCUAGCCCCUCCCCUACUCACAUCCACCCUAUCAAUUUCACAGAGCCUCCAGGUCCCGCCCUUUAUCCUAACACGCCCCCCUCCAAACGGUAAAACCCAAAUUGGGUUUGGCUCCUUCCCUGUAACACCCCCUCCUCAACUCAGGACUAAACUAUUGAUUCCAUCUUGGGCCCAGCUAAACGGGGUCCAGUCCCCUCCCUUCCUAACUGGAUGGAUUCGAGAGUGUGGAUGGUGACCCUUUCACUGAGACACGGAAGAAUGGAUUUAAGAGGAAAUGAAUGUUGAUUUUGAGGCACCUGUGGUACAUCCAAGUGGAAAUGCUGUAUUGGCAAUUGAAUAAGCACAUCGGAAACUCAAGAAAAAGGCCUAAUCAUAGAACAUCUCAUUUUUAGGAUACAUAAGCUCUGCCCUGGAUAAAGGCCGAGAAGACUACAGUUAUCCUUUAGGACACCAUCACAGUAAAUGAAAAGAACCUGAUUCCUGACAACUUGGUGGAAUGGACUGCCUACCUCUGGCUUUCUUUUAAUGAGAUGAAUAAGUGUAUGUCUCGGUUAGCCGUUGUUAUUUCGGAGUCUCUGCCAUGCAGCAGUUUCCUGGUGGUUCUCAAUAUCAUACGUUGUAUUCGUGACAUUUCCAACAUUUAGAGUCCCACAUUGUUUCACUCGUGGUCUCAGGAGGAACAGAAUUAGAACCUUGAAUAUUAUCGAAUUCAGUGAAGGAAGCUAAAUCUCAGUCCAAGUUCAUCAGAAAGAAGCCUCCUGAAAACAAACCUGUGAGAAAGAAUUGGGCCACUGAAAAGAAAAUGGGGACCAACUGUCUACCAGGCACCUUUGUGCUGAAAGCUUGAGACUCCGUGGACUGAUUUGAAUUGGUGGAAUCUUUCAGAGAUGGGGCCAGGGAAGAGCGACGAGGUCCCUGGGCUAAUCUUUGUUGAGAGAGAUUGAUGUCAUUCUCUUGGGACUCAGGUACUGGAUGCUGUUCUGGGAGCUGAAGACAUAACAGUGGAGAAGAUGGAGAGCAAUGCCUGUUCCUCGUGGAGCUGAUUCUAGUAAGGGGAAGAGAGGAAACAAUCGGCUCAAGAAAUAAGAUCUG
Long non-coding RNA from Peromyscus californicus insignis, 1176 nucleotides. RefSeq lists it as uncharacterized. The transcript has 6 exons. NCBI's taxonomy places the organism in Eukaryota, Metazoa, Chordata, Mammalia, Rodentia, Cricetidae. The record is from RefSeq and is a predicted model, not a curated record.